GCCUUGGACCUUGGUCAAAGUUCCAACAAAUCUCUUAUUUGCCUUAGUUUAUGCAAACACCCUCUUAGACACAUUCAAACCAUGCUUUUGGAAAAGCUUUUGUGAAUACGUAAGCAACUUUGGUCGUUUUAAUUGUGCAGUAAAUCAACUUUAAUAUCUCUAUCCUUUCAGGGAUGUUAUGAUGGAAUACUCAAAGCAAGUGAUGAUUUUGGGUGAAUUUCUCUUUGAGCUUUUGUCAGAAGCUCUAGGGCUGAACCCUAAUCACCUCAAGGACAUGGAUUGCCUAAAGGGUUUGCGCAUGCUUUGCCAUUACUUCCCACCGUGUCCAGAGCCUGACCUAACUUUUGGCACAAGUCCGCACUCCGACAGCUCUUUUCUUACCAUCCUCCUUCCAGAUCAGAUCAAAGGGCUUCAGGUUCUUCGUGAAGGGUACUGGUUCGAUGUUCCUCAUGUUCCAGGCGCUCUCAUCAUCAACAUCGGAGAUCUUUUACAGGCAUGUUUACCAAUGCUUUCUUUUCCUCAGUUUUGCAUUCUAUAGAUAAUCUUCCCUUUAACUCAAAGUUUCUUUUGGGGGUUUGUGAUUUUGAUGCAGCUUAUAACAAACGACAAAUUCAUCAGUUUGGGGCAUCGAGUAUUGGCGAACAGAGCCACAAGAGCUCGAGUCUCUGUCGCAUGUUUCUUCACCACCCAUGUAAAACCCAAUCCUAGAGUGUAUGGACCCAUUAAAGAGCUUGUGUCCGAAGAAAACCCUCCAAAGUACAGAGAGACCACCAUUACAAACUACGCUACUUACUUCAAUGGCAAAGGACUUGGCGGAACCUCUGCUUUGCUCCAUUUUAAAGUAUGAAACAUGGCGAGCUACUACUUUCUCAAACAUAUACGACAUGACAGUAUAUGUAACAUGUUGGAAUUAUGUGAACCAAAUGUGGAAUUUAUGGAUUAUACUACAUUGUCAUUUCAGUUUGGUCCAUAUAAGGUGCAAUCGGAUAUGGUUAAUCGAUUAGAUGUCAAUAUUGGAUAUGAACAAGUUGGUUAUAUGCAUAUACACUAGAUUGGAUGGGUUGAAUUAUUAGAUGACAAUAUUUAAGAUUGGUUAAAUAAUGGUUCACUGGUUGGUUAAGUAAUGGUCUCUAGAUAUGUUUGCAUGUUUUCAUGAUUUGGUGUUAGUUCACUGUAAUUCAUGGAUUUAAAGGUCUUGGGAUUUUUUCAAGCAUGCAUAAGAUUAGUUGACGUUUUUUGCUUUAUCAUAAAAUCAUAAGGUUUUUGAAUCAUAUAUCAUGCAUGUUUCUGGAUUAAAAAUCACAAGAAAGCAUGUUUUUUUUGAAAAUAAAUUUAGUCUUUAAAGACCAUUUGUUGAAAACAAUAAAAGUUCCGUACUUAAUUCAAUUUCAAGAUAGUUAGGCGUAGAAUACAAGAAAGAAAACAAUUUUUUUGAAAGACAAGUGUUGUUUUCUUGUCUGAACAAAACCAACCCAAAUAUAGAGAGACACCACCAUUACUCCAUUACAGAGAAUGCAAACUUCGUUUUAUAUAUAUAUAUAUACUGUAUCAUUUUGACUAAUAAAGUUGCGUGGGAGAUUGAUUCUCUUAAUUCUGUAAUAACUUGUUGUUGACUAAAAGACUUGUCUGGUCCGCUCACUGCCACAAGCGGUUGUUUUUGUCUAUAAACCUUAUCUCUUACCAAUGGUUUUGCUGUAGCAACCGGUCACAUCUUUGAACUUAAGAAAAAUGUUUCAUUCUUGUUUUUAUAGAUUUUUAUGUUAUGCCUGAUUGUAUCAUAUUGUUCUGUUCUUCGAGAAACUAAAACUAUGGAGACGACGAAGAUUGCUUCUUCAUUCGAUCGUGCCAGUGAGCUCAAAGCUUUUGAUGAGACAAAAACGGGUGUGAAAGGACUCGUCGACUCCGGAAUUUCACAGAUUCCACGCAUCUUCCAUCACUCAUCUGUCAAACUAGAGAACCCUAAGCCACUUUCCUCGGACUUGCUACAUCUCAAGACGAUCCCAACGAUCGAUCUUGGAGGACGGGUUUUCGAGGAUGCGAGUAAGCGCAAGAACGCGGUUGAAAGAAUUAAAGAAGCAUCAGAGAAGUGGGGUUUCUUCCAGGUAAUUAACCAUGGAGUUCCACUUGAUCUUCUUGAGAAGAUGAAAGAUGGAGUUCGUGGGUUUCACGAGCAAUCCCCUGAAGUGAGGAAAGAUUUCUACAGUCGCGAUUUAACUAGAAAGUUUCAGUAUUCAAGUAAUUUCGAUCUCUAUAGUUCUCCAGCUGCAAACUGGAGAGACACGGUUGCUUGUACCAUGGCUCCAGAUCCUCCGAAUCCACAAGAUAUUCCAGAGAUUUGUAGGUAUGACUCCAUUGCUUUAACUUUAUUUGAUGUGUAAUCUCUAUUCAUAUAUGGUGAAUUGUUUCAGGGAUGUCACGAUGGAAUAUUCAGAGCAAGUGAUGAAUUUGGGUGAAUUUCUCUUUACGCUUUUAUCAGAAGCUCUAGGGUUGAACCCUAAUCACCUCAAUGACAUGGAUUGCUCUAAGGGUUUGGUCAUGCUUUGCCAUUACUACCCACCAUGUCCAGAGCCUGACCUAACUUUAGGCACAAGUCAGCACGCCGACAAUACUUUUCUUACCGUUCUUCUUCCAGAUCAGAUCGAAGGGCUUCAGGUUCUUCGUGAAGGGUAUUGGUUCAAUGUUCCUCAUGUUCCCGGAGCUCUAAUCAUCAACAUUGGAGAUCUUCUACAGGCAAGUUUGCACAACCAAUACAUUUUUGCUCUGUUUUGCACAAGUAUAAAUCUUCCUCUUGGUUCAAAGAUUUUUUAUUGGGAUUUUGAUGCAGCUUGUAACAAACGACAAGUUCAUCAGUUUGGAGCACAGAGUAUUGGCGAACAGAGCCACAAGAGCUCGAGUCUCUGUAGCAGGUUUCUUCACCACCGCCAUGAGACCGAAUCCUACACUGUACGGACCCAUUAGAGAGCUUGUGUCUGAAGACAACCCUCCAAAGUACAGAGAGACCACUAUUAGAGACUACACUGUUCACUUCAGUGCCAAAGGACUUGACGGAACCUCUGCUUUGCUCCAUUUUAAAAUAUGAAACAUGGCCAGCUAGCUUCUACUUUAUCACACAUAUAUGACAUGAUAUAUAUAUGUAACAUGUUGGAUAUGUGUGAACCACAUGCAUGUGGAAUUUAUGAAAUAAAGAUUGUUAUUUCGGUUUAGUCCAAAUAAGGUGUGAUUGGUUAUGGUGGUUAAAAGAUAUGUUUCUUUGUAGCUAUGAUUAAACUAUUACAGAGUAUGCAAAGUUCUACAGAUCCAAAGGAUUCGAUGGUACCUCUGGAUUACUUUAUCUCAAGAUCUGAGAAUGCCAUAUACUGUAUCAUUUUGUCUAACAGAUGCGUGAGACUAAUUUGAUUUUUUUCUUUUCUGUAAUAACCUCUUGUUAAUUACUUAAGUCUGCUCCAGUCACUGUCACAAGCGGUUGUUUUUGUCAAGCAACCUUAUCUCUAAUCAAUGGUUUUGCUGUAUCAACUGGUCCAAUCUUUGAACUUAAGAAAAAAGUUUCUUUCUUGUUUUUAUGGAUUCUUAAGUUAUGUGGGAUUGUAUCAUAUUGUUCUGUUUUUCGAGAAACUAAAACUAUGGAGACGACGAAGAUUGCUUCUUCAUUCGAUCGUGCCGGUGAGCUUAAAGCUUUCGAUGAAACGAAAACGGGUGUGAAAGGACUCGUUGACGCAGGAGUUUCACAAAUUCCGCGCAUCUUUCAUCAUCCAUCUGUCAAAUUAUCAAACCAUAAACCACUUUCCUCAGACUUGGUACAUCUCAAGACGAUCCCAACGAUUGAUCUAGGAGGAAGGAUCGUUGAGGACACGAGCAAGCGCAAGAACGCGAUUGAAGGGAUUAAAGAAGCAGCAGAGAAGUGGGGUUUCUUCCAGGUGAUCAACCAUGGAGUUUCGCUUGAUCUUCUUGAGAAGAUGAAAGAUGGAGUUCGUGACUUUCACGAGCAAUCCCCUGAAGUGAGGAAAGAAUUCUAUAGUCGCGAUUUCAGCAGAAGGUUUCUGUAUUCAAGUAAUUUCGAUCUCUUCAGUUCUCCAGCUGCAAAUUGGAGAGACACUUUCUCUUGUACUAUGGCUCCAGAUACUCCAAAACCACAGGAUCUUCCGGAGAUUUGUAGGUAUGACUCCAUUGCCCUAACUUGAUUUCAUGUGUACUCUUUGUUCAUAUGGUGAAUCACUAAAUUGUUUCAGGGAUGUUAUGAUGGAAUACUCAAAGCAAGUGAUGAUUUUGGGUAAAUUUCUCUUUGAGCUUUUAUCAGAAGCUCUAGGGUUGGAACCUAAUCACCUCAAUAACAUAGAUUGCUCCAAGGGUUUGCUCAUGCUCUCCCAUUACUACCCACCGUGUCCAGAGCCUGACCUAACUUUUGGCACAAGUCAGCACUCUGACAACUCUUUCCUUACCGUCCUUCUCCCCGAUCAGAUCGAAGGGCUUCAGGU
RNAcentral lists this long non-coding RNA (4472 nucleotides) under Arabidopsis lyrata. Its description in RNAcentral is "long non-coding RNA (ALYR_LNC002962)". Lineage: Eukaryota; Viridiplantae; Streptophyta; Magnoliopsida; Brassicales; Brassicaceae. The record is from RNAcentral.